RNAcentral lists this ribosomal RNA (468 nucleotides) under uncultured bacterium. RNAcentral's name for it is "partial 16S ribosomal RNA". It matches the Rfam family "Bacterial small subunit ribosomal RNA", at positions 28 to 507 of the family's 1533-position model. The record is from RNAcentral.
GACGAACGCUGGCGGCGUGCUUAACACAUGCAAGUCGAACGGAAAGGCCCUGCUUUUGUGGGGUGCUCGAGUGGCGAACGGGUGAGUAACACGUGAGUAACCUUCCCUUUACUUUUGGAUAACUUCAGGAAACUGGGGCUAAUACCGGAUAGGAGCUCCUUCUGCAUGGUGGGGGUUGGAAAGUUUCGGCGGGUGGGGAUGGACUCGCGGCUUAUCAGCUUGUUGGUGGGGUAGUGGCUUACUAAGGCUUUGACGGGUAGCCGGCCUGAGAGGGUGACCGGCCACAUUGGGACUGAGAUACGGCCCAGACUCCUACGGGAGGCAGCAGUGGGGAAUAUUGCACAAUGGGCGGAAGCCUGAUGCAGCAACGCCGCGUGCGGGAUGACGGCCUUCGGGUUGUAAACCGCUUUCGCCUGUGACGAAGCGUGAGUGACGGUAAUGGGUAAAGAAGCACCGGCUAACUACGUG